AAUCAACGCUGGCGGCGCGCCUAACACAUGCAAGUCGAACGAGAAAGCUUCCUUCGGGAAGUGAGUACAGUGGCGAACGGGUGAGUAACACGUGGGUUACCUGCCCUCGAGUGGGGAAUAACCUUGGGAAACCGGGGCUAAUACCGCAUACGGUCUACGGACUAAAGCUUUAUGCGCUCGAGGAGGGGCCCGCGGUCGAUUAGCUAGUUGGUGAGGUAAUGGCUCACCAAGGCAUCGAUCGAUAGCCGGCCUGAGAGGGCACACGGCCACACUGGCACUGAGACACGGGCCAG
Molecule: ribosomal RNA, 293 nt
Filed under: uncultured bacterium
Lineage: Bacteria
Description: partial 16S ribosomal RNA
Rfam family: Bacterial small subunit ribosomal RNA
Source: RNAcentral